RNAcentral lists this ribosomal RNA (484 nucleotides) under uncultured bacterium. RNAcentral describes it as "partial 16S ribosomal RNA". It matches the Rfam family "Bacterial small subunit ribosomal RNA", at positions 30 to 507 of the family's 1533-position model. The record is from RNAcentral.
AUUGAACGCUGGCGGCAGGCCUAACACAUGCAAGUCGAGCGGAUGAAGGGAGCUUGCUCCUGGAUUCAGCGGCGGACGGGUGAGUAAUGCCUAGGAAUCUGCCUGGUAGUGGGGGAUAACGUCCGGAAACGGGCGCUAAUACCGCAUACGUCCUGAGGGAGAAAGUGGGGGAUCUUCGGACCUCACGCUAUCAGAUGAGCCUAGGUCGGAUUAGCUAGUUGGUGGGGUAAAGGCCUACCAAGGCGACGAUCCGUAACUGGUCUGAGAGGAUGAUCAGUCACACUGGGACUGAGACACGGUCCAGACUCCUACGGGAGGCAGCAGUGGGGAAUAUUGGACAAUGGGCGAAAGCCUGAUCCAGCCAUGCCGCGUGUGUGAAGAAGGUCUUCGGAUUGUAAAGCACUUUAAGUUGGGAGGAAGGGCAGUAAGUUAAUACCUUGCCGUUUUGACGUUACCAACAGAAUAAGCACCGGCUAACUUCGUG